ACAGCUCAUUAAACUGCCUCU
RNAcentral lists this microRNA (21 nucleotides) under Strongyloides ratti. Its description in RNAcentral is "str-miR-34c-3p". Its record names the gene str-miR-34c-3p. Lineage: Eukaryota; Metazoa; Nematoda; Chromadorea; Rhabditida; Strongyloididae. The record is from miRBase by way of RNAcentral.